This 439-nucleotide ribosomal RNA is filed under the name uncultured bacterium. RNAcentral describes it as "partial 16S ribosomal RNA". It matches the Rfam family "Bacterial small subunit ribosomal RNA", at positions 339 to 795 of the family's 1533-position model. The record is from RNAcentral.
CUACGGGCCGCUCCAGUGAGGAAUAUUGCACAAUGGGGGGAACCCUGAUGCAGCAACGCCGCGUGGAGGAUGACGCAUUUCGGUGUGUAAACUCCUUUUAUAUGUCAAGAAAAUGACGGUAGCAUAUGAAUAAGCACCGGCUAACUCCGUGCCAGCAGCCGCGGUAAUACGGAGGGUGCAAGCGUUACUCGGAAUCACUGGGCGUAAAGGACGCGUAGGCGGGUUGGAAAGUCAGGUGUGAAAUCCUACAGCUUAACUGUAGAACUGCACUUGAAACUUCUAAUCUAGAGUAUGGGAGGGGGAGAGGGAAUUAGUGGUGUAGGGGUAAUAUCCGUAGAUAUCACUAGGAAUACCUAAAGCGAAGGCGAUCUCCUGGAACAUUACUGACGCUAAGGCGUGAAAGCGUGGGGAGCAAACAGGAUUAGAUACCCUCGUAGUC